AGAUGACUCCUGACUGCCCCAUCCCUCUCUUUUUAUGCCCCCCACUGAGAUAAUAUGGAAAUAUUUUAAGCUAUUGGAUUUUCAGGCAGGUAUAUAUUUUAGAACAGUAGUUUCUAAACUUACUGGUCAUCAGAAUCACCUGCGGAUUUUUUUUUUAAUUAACAUUUUCUUCUCCCCCUGCCCUACGAAAUCAGACUCUCAGCCAUGGUGGGAGAAAGUAAGCGGCUGGGGUAGGAAUGUUUUAAAAUCCUUCCUGUAAUUCUAAUGCUCAGUGAGGUUUGUACACAACUGUUGAGAGCACAGAGAUACCUCCCAGCCCCUUCUAAGUCACACCACUUACCUGCUCAGAACCAUGAAGAGAAAAGGAGAAAAUCCUCUGAGCCCCAGCCUGCUUCCCACCUACCUGGCAAAGUGCAUCACUGUUCUCAGAGCUCUGUCACCCGGACCACCUAAUUCAGAUGUUCAUACUUCCGUGCUACCAGGUAAUUCCUUCUGUAGGAAGAAAGAAAAGACAAUACACUUCUUAGGACCUUAGGUAUCGAGCUUUAAAAAAAACUAAUUUCAUUUACUAACGACGACAUCCUUGUAUGAUUGGCAUCGGCACCAUUUUGUAAUUGAAGAAACCAGGGCUGAGAGGACUGUGGCGUUAUUUUGCCAGGUUUCCCCUGUGGUUGGUUGCAGAGGGGGGAUUUGGAACCCAGGACUGUGGAACAGGAUAGAUCACUGGCGUGGUCAUUUGUGCCCUGUUUUUAUUUAUGGUGGAGACUUACUUGAUAGAAGGAAAGGGCAAUUUUCCCCACCUUUUCCUCUCUGGACAGAACGUUGGCUUUUUGUCCUGAGGCUCAGGAUCCUGUUAUGCUCAGGUGUAAGAACUUUAAGAGCUUCUUUGCGUUUCAAAGACUAUCCUGGAGGGGUCAGGCCGGCCCUGCAGCCGAGUGGUUAAGUUUAUGCGCUCCGCUUCUACGGCCAAGGGUUUCAGCAGUUUGGUUCCUGGGCGCAGACGCAGCACCGCUUAUCAAGCCAUGCUGAGGCGGCAUCCCACAUGCCACAACUGGAAAGACCCACAACUAAAAAUACAUACAACUAUGCACUGGGGGGCUUGAGGAGAAAAAGGGAAAAAAUAUAAAAUCUUAAAAAAAAAACAAAAAAACUAUCCUGGAAAAAGCCCCAACCAGGACUGUGAGAGUUCUUGGCUCUUCAAGAAGAGAAGCUGAAGUCCUCUUAAAAAGGGAAGAGAUGGAAGGCGAUGCUUCACAGGGGAGACAGCUAUGCCCCAAACCGGAGAAGAUGAGUUCCCAGAAGCUGGAGGGAAGUGUGGGCAUUUCUUGCACCCAAGUGUACAGAGGAAUUCAGAGUCUUCCACCUCACAAGAGCUGUAAGAGGGGAAGAGCGUGCCACCGUCAACCUAACUUAGGCAGUUGUCCCAUCUUGAAACCUGACUCAUGGGGACCCCCAGAAAGAGAAAAGGAACUGACAUUCACUGUACUUCACACCUGUAGUGUGCCAAGAGCAUCCACCCCUGGGAGUCCUGAGAGCCUCUUCACGGUGUUGAGCAGAUGGCAGUCCCGCCCAGGCAGGUUUUUCCUCCUCCUCCCAUCCCCCACAGCCGGCUCCCACGAUGCAUGAAAGGCUAUACUUGUGUACAGAGCCCUUGGGUGAGAGAUCUCAGCUGUCUGCGCAGGAGUGUGGUCAUCUGCUCACAGAUUUACGGCCUAUAAAGCAUCUGGUUCUUUAUGGAAUAAAAAGCAAACAGGAUGAGUAAAAGAAACCAGGAUGGUGUUAUCUCCUUUUUACAAGUGAAGAAACGGAAGCUCAAAGAAGCUGAACUUGCCUAAGCUUACAGAGUUGGCAAGGCGCAAAAUCGGGGUUUGAUCCCAGGUCUGUUUUGUCUUUUCCUGUUAAUGGACUUCCCUGAUGUCCCCUGGAUUGUCCCAACCCCUGCGUUCCACCUGCUUCCUCCAGGACCACCCUAGAGCUCAUCCGCCAUUAACCCAUUUUUCUCCCAUGGCCUGCUCUGAGACUGGACCGAAUAGCUCAUUUUUCAGGGAACUUUCUAGUCCUUUGGAUUCUGUCUGAGCCCCAGGUUCGGAACAAUCAGCCUAAAUAACAGGCAAUGAUUGG
Long non-coding RNA from Equus caballus (horse), 2121 nucleotides. NCBI's taxonomy places the organism in Eukaryota, Metazoa, Chordata, Mammalia, Perissodactyla, Equidae. The record is from Ensembl.